Molecule: long non-coding RNA, 3675 nt
Organism: Brassica napus (rape)
Lineage: Eukaryota; Viridiplantae; Streptophyta; Magnoliopsida; Brassicales; Brassicaceae
Exons: 2
Source: RefSeq, a predicted model, not a curated record
ACCAGCGUUUCCUCAGAAUUAAGGGUUCGUCCCGUUUUUUUUUUCUUCGAUGGGUUUCGAUCGCGUCGUUUCAUUUUCUUUUUAGUCAAGCGAAACCGCUUCCAUCUAAAGAUUCAUCGCAAGGCAGUCUGAGUAUAAAAAGCCACCAACCACACCUCAAACAGACCUCGGGCGUAGCUGUAAUCACCAUGAGAAGCUUUGUCAAAACCAUGAGAACCAUCGCCGGAAUUGCUGGAUUUGUUUAUAAUCUGGUUUAAAAUUUUGGAGAUUAGCACAAAUCAAAACCUAUGGAUUUGUCUUUGGAGAAGAGGAAAAUGAAGAGGUGCUGGAGUAAAGAGAAGAAGAGAAUGAGGAAGAGAAUAUUGGUUAUAGAUGGAUGGAUGAUACAAGUUGUGGAUGGAUGACUCGUGGAUGGACAAUAUGUAAACGAGUCGUGGAUGGAUAAUUUGUGGAUAGAUAUGCAGAGAAAAUGUAAACACAUCCAUAUGUAAACGACAAACAGAAAUUUAUUCAUAAUUACAUUAGCGACGUGUGUUCGACCUAUCCGUCCACAAUAGUUGUGUCCACAUAAUUCGUUUUGAAAAUCCAAUUUCUAAAAAUAUCAAAGCAUAUAUAAUAUGGAUCUCGAAAUAUAGAAGAAAAAAAGUUAUAAUUUAUUUUGUACAUUAUAUAUUUAUACUUAUAAAUUUUAAUAUGAAAUAAUACGAAAUAAAACAUGUUGUGAGGAAUAGCUUUAUUUUUGUGAUAAACCAAUAGAAAAAGUUAUUAUAUUAUAGGAGAGAGAUAAAAAUAAAUUUUUAAAUCUAACUCUCGUUUCCUUCCAACAGAAUAGUAUUGAUUUCAUUUUUCACAAGGGUAAUUUUGACAAACCAACUCUUUGGCCCUACAAAAAAAUGUCCCACAAGUGGGAAGUGUCUCCUAGUGUAAACCAAAGACAAAAUGUGUCUUUCUAUGUAAUCAACCGAAAAUUUUACAUCUGAAGGCACAUUUUGACUUUAGAAUUACAUCUAAAGACACAUCUUGCAUAUGACACACAUUCUUUAUAUGUUUUGUCUAUUCUACCCUUUUAUUUAGUUGAGAAUAUAUUUUUAUUUUGUUUUAACUAAACAAAGUCAUUUCCACCACGCAUCCUUUGUGUCUUCUCUCUCAUGUUUCCAAUUUUUAAAUAAUUAUCACCCAUAAACUCCAAAAAUCUAUCUCUCUUUCCAAUCUCAUAUUUAUUUUUCCCAGAUUUAUCUCUUUUGAUUUGAUUUUUUAGCUGGUUGAUCGUAUUAAAAACCUGAGACCACCGUUGUAUUCCUCUCGACAAAACGAAGCCGUAGCUUCUGCCACGCUUCAAUCAGAGGUUUGACACGUCUAUAAGUGUUGUGAGAAACUUCACUAAAAUCAUUUUUCUCCAUUUUAGGAUAGAAUUUUGACUCGAUCUCUUAGCUCGUUUAUUUUAUCAAAAAUAUGAGACCAUAACCAUGUUCCUCUCCACAAAACGAAUCCAUAGCCACCAACCACACCUCAAACAGAGCUCGGGCGUAGCUGUAAUCACCAUGAGAAGCUUUGUCAAAACCAUGAGAAACAUCGCCAGAAUUGCUGGAUUUGUUUAUAAUCUGGUUUAAAAUUUUGGAGAUUAGCACAAAUCAAAACCUAUGGAUUUGUCUUUGGAGAAGAGGAAAAUGAAGAGGUGCUGGAGUAAAGAGAGGAAGAGAAUGAGGAAGAGAAAAUUAGUUAUAGAUGGAUGGAUGAUACAAGUUGUGGAUGGACGACUCGUGGAUGGACAAUAUGUAAACGAGUCGUGGAUGGAUAAUUUGUGGAUAGAUAUGCAGAGAAAAUGUAAACACAUCCAUAUGUAAACGACAAACAUAAAUUUAUUCAUAAUUACAUUAGCGACGUAUGUUCGACCUAUCCGUCCACAAUAGUUGUGUCCACAUAAUUCGUUUUGAAAAUCCAAUUUUUAAAAAUAUCAAAACAUAUAUAAUAUGGAUCUCGAAAUAUAGAAGAAAAAAAGUUAUAAUUUAUUUUGUACAUUAUAUAUUUAUACUUAUAAAUUUUAAUAUGAAAUAAUACGAAAUAAAACAUGUUGUGAGAAAUAGCUUUCUUUUUGUGAUAAACCAAUAGAAAAAGUUAUUAUAUUAUAGGAGAGAGAUAAAAAUAAAUUUUUAAAUCCAACUCUCGGUUCCUUCCAACAGAAUAGUAUUGAUUUCAUUUUUCACAAGGGUAAUUUUGACAAACCAACUCUUUGGCCCUACAAAAAAAUUUCCCACAAGUGGGAAGUGUCUCCUAGUGUAAACCAAAGACAAAAUGUGUCUUUCUAUGUAAUCAACUCUUUAUCCCCUGUAAUUCCUAGCAAACUUUUUGCAUCAAAACCCAUCCGUAUUUGUAUUUGUUUACUGUUGAGAUAUAUACGGUUACACAUUUUGGUCACAGCUCUAAUACUAAGUUUGUUGAAAUAACGGCGGUCACAGCUCUAAUACUGACUAAAUAUAAAUGUUUGGUUUUCCUCACUUAGCCAACUGCUUGGUAACAGUAUCUUUAACUAACAGAACAAUAACAAUAUCAUUACCUUGGUUAUUGGUGAGAAAAAAUUUUGUAGCUUUUGAUGUGUACAUAGUCUUCACUUUCUUUGAUAAAAAAAAGCCAUCACCUUCAUUUCAAAUUAAUUCUACUCCUAGAAAAACAAGCCCUCGGCCCAAAACUAUAAGAUUUUCCACUUAGUUACUAAUUCAAGUAAAUAGAAUCCUUAUCAUAGUUUGCGUUCAAAAAAAAAAACCCUUAUCAUCUAUCUAUACUAAUAAAGUUGGCUUUUCUCCUUUCUUAGAGUGCCACAUCAUCAGUUAGAAGAGGGCAAAUGCUGACACGUCAGCUUCUCUAUCUGAAAAUGCAAAUGUUUCGUCUCUUCGAGAAUUUCUUAAUGGGCCAGUUAUUAUAGCUACUACACGACACUAAACUUAGUCUCAACGUUAUAAUUGCAUGUUUGACCAUUUUGUAAACGAUGGGCUACUAGGUGAAUUUAAUUAUAACGAGUAGCUCAUCUACGUUAUGUAGUCUUAUUCUUCCUGAACCUUUUGUUGUCUAACCGAAGAAGAACGCAGAGUGACGAUUGAAAAUUCUUUCCUUCGAUUUUCAAAGACAAGUAACGCCUUCCUAUAGCAUUCAAUUGCUCCCUGUGAUGAUUGCAAUAACAACCAUUAAACCACUCUCUCCACUCCUUCGUAUUGAUUUCAUUAUACAUCCAUGGUAACGCCAGAAUGUCUAAAACCUAGGGUUAUAAAUACGCUGGAGGCAGGACAUGUCAAUCAUCUCUCCCAACAAAACAUUCUAAACUUUCGAAUCCAAGCUCACCUACCUCCGAUGGCCACCUCACGUAUCAUUCUCAAAUAAUUAGAAAGUCGGGCGUUGCUCUAACAAAGCGGAGAUCCGUAUGCUCUGAUUCAGGGAAGCCCGUAAUGUCAAGAAAGGAGGUAUAAAAAGUGGGAUUCAAUCCACUGCCAUAUGAGGUAUUUGCUCUCCACUGCGAUGUUAGUAUAUCAAUCCAUCAAAUUGGUUAAUCUAAAGUUUGUCACCAAGGUCAACAAUUUACUUUCAUUCUUUGCCGUUUGUGUAUUAUGAGUUAAACAAGUGAAGGGAUAUGAUCAACUCAUUCAGUUUUGAUUAUAAUGUAUAUUAAGAACUUUAGUGCGUUUU